RNAcentral lists this ribosomal RNA (479 nucleotides) under uncultured bacterium. RNAcentral describes it as "partial 16S ribosomal RNA". It matches the Rfam family "Bacterial small subunit ribosomal RNA", at positions 29 to 507 of the family's 1533-position model. The record is from RNAcentral.
ACGAACGCUGGCGGCGUGCUUAACCCAUGCCAGUCGAACGAUGAAGAAAAGAAUCGAAGCUUCGGCAGAAAUUCAUUUCGGAUUAGUGGCAGACGGGUGAGUAACGCGUGAGCAACCUACCUCUUACAAAGGGAUAGCCUCGGGAAACCGGGAUUAAUACCAUAUAACAUUGUGACGAAGCAUUUCGAUGCAAUCAAAGCUACGGCGGUAAGGGAUGGGCUCGCGUCCCAUUAACCGGAUGGUGAGGUAACGGCUCACCAUAGGGACGAUGGGUAACCGGCCUGAGAGGGUGAACGGUCACACUGGAACUGAGGCACGGUCCAGACUCCUACGGGAGGCAGCAGUGGGGAAUAUUGCACAAUGGAGGGAACUCUGAUGCAGCGACGCCGCGUGAGUGAUGAAGGAAUUCGUUUCGUAAAACUCUGUUCUAUGGGAAGAAAAGGACUGUACCAUAGGAGAAAGCUCCGGCUAAAUACGUG